UCAGGCCUAACACAUGCAAGUCGUACGAGGUGUAAAUAAUUCACUUGUGAAUUGUUUAUUACUACAGUGGCGCACGGGUGAGUAACACGUAAGAACCUGCCUUUUGGAGGGGGAUAACAUAGGGAAACCUUUGCUAAUACCCCAUAGAGCUGAGGAGCUAAAUCGCAUUUGCGGCCAAGAGAGGGGCUUGCGCCUGAUUAGCUAGUUGGGGAGGUAAUGGCUUCCCAAGGCCACGAUCAGUAGUUGGUCUGAGAGGAUGAUCAGCCACACUGGGACUGAGACACGGCCCAGACUCCUACGGGAGGCAGCAGUGAGGAAUUUUCCGCAAUGGGCGAAAGCCUGACGGAGCAAUACCGCGUGAAGGAAGAGGGAUCGUGGUCUGUAAACUUCUUUUCUCGAGAAGAAGAU
RNAcentral lists this ribosomal RNA (408 nucleotides) under uncultured bacterium. Its description in RNAcentral is "bacterial SSU rRNA". It matches the Rfam family "Bacterial small subunit ribosomal RNA", at positions 42 to 452 of the family's 1533-position model. The record is from RNAcentral.